This 268-nucleotide long non-coding RNA is filed under the name Capsicum annuum. RNAcentral's name for it is "long non-coding RNA (CANN_LNC017471)". The record is from RNAcentral. Lineage: Eukaryota; Viridiplantae; Streptophyta; Magnoliopsida; Solanales; Solanaceae.
UGGUUGUUUUAGGUGUGUCAAGAUAGGCCAUAGGCUUAGAGAGUGCCCAUAUGCCAGGCUGGAAAGCAGAGAUACCCGGUCCCAAACCCAGGCAACUAGUGCAUCAGCUUUUGCAGCCCAUCCAGCUCCUCCUCAGGGCGCUUCUUCUAGUAUUGCUGGCGGUCAGUGUCAAAAUAGGUUCUAUGCCCUACCUUCCUAUCAUGAGCAGGAGAACUCUCCCAAUGUUGUUACUGGUAUGCUCCGUGUAUUUUAUUUUGAUGUAUAUGUG